RNAcentral lists this small RNA (2529 nucleotides) under Pan troglodytes (chimpanzee). RNAcentral's name for it is "retained intron". The record is from RNAcentral. Lineage: Eukaryota; Metazoa; Chordata; Mammalia; Primates; Hominidae.
AGACAAGAUGGCGACGUCCGUGGGGCACCGAUGCCUGGGAUUACUGCACGGGGUCGCGCCGUGGCGGAGCAGCCUCCAUCCCUGUGAGAUCACUGCCCUGAGCCAAUCCCUACAGCCCUUACGGAAGCUGCCUUUUAGAGCCUUUCGCACAGAUGCCAGAAAAAUCCACACUGCCCCUGCCCGAACCAUGUUCCUGCUGCGUCCCCUGCCCAUUCUGUUGGCGACAGGCGGCGGGUAUGCAGGGUACCGGCAGUAUGAGAAAUACAGGGAGCGAGAGCUGGAGAAGCUGGGAUUGGAGAUUCCACCCAAACUUGCUGGUCACUGGGAGGUGGCUUUGUACAAGUCAGUGCCAACGCGCUUGCUGUCACGGGCCUGGGGUCGCCUCAAUCAGGUGGAGCUGCCACACUGGCUGCGCAGGCCCGUCUACAGCCUGUACAUCUGGACGUUUGGGGUGAACAUGAAAGAGGCCGCUGUGGAGGACCUGCAUCACUACCGCAACCUCAGCGAGUUCUUCCGGCGCAAGCUGAAGCCGCAGGCCCGGCCUGUCUGUGGCCUGCACAGCGUGGUGAGGCCUGACCCUUUCCUCCUGCAGGAAACAGGACUUUUUCCUGCCUCCCCAGCACAGCCCCCCCGGUCUCCAGCGUAUCUGGAAGGGGCAGGAUGACAAGGGGAGGUGGGAGCUGUCUCCUGGGGGGAGGAGACCCUGCUCUCCCUGGCAGCAAGCCUCUCCUGCCCUUCCAGAUUAGCCCAUCGGAUGGAAGGAUCCUCAACUUUGGGCAGGUGAAGAACUGCGAGGUGGAGCAGGUAAAGGGGGUCACCUACUCCCUGGAGUCGUUCCUGGGCCCGCGUACCUGCACAGAGGACCUGCCCUUCCCACCAGCUGCGUCGUGUGACUCCUUCAAGAACCAGCUGGUCACCCGGGAAGGGAAUGAGCUCUAUCACUGUGUCAUCUACCUGGCCCCUGGGGACUACCACUGCUUCCACUCCCCCACCGACUGGACUGUGUCCCACCGGCGCCACUUCCCAGGCUCCCUGAUGUCAGUGAACCCUGGCAUGGCUCGCUGGAUCAAAGAGCUCUUCUGCCAUAACGAGCGGGUAGUCCUGACGGGGGACUGGAAACAUGGCUUCUUCUCACUGACAGCUGUGGGGGCCACCAACGUGGGCUCCAUUCGCAUCUACUUUGACCGGGACCUGCACACAAACAGCCCAAGGCACAGCAAGGGCUCCUACAAUGACUUCAGCUUCGUGACGCACACCAAUAGAGAGGGCGUCCCCAUGCGUAAGGGCGAGCACCUGGGCGAGUUCAACCUGGGCUCCACCAUCGUGCUCAUCUUUGAGGCCCCCAAGGACUUCAAUUUCCAGCUGAAAACAGGACAGAAAAUCCGCUUUGGGGAAGCCCUGGGCUCGCUCUAGAGUCUCUUUCCUGAUUAUGGCUGCUAAGGGAUCUUUUCCAAACAGAGUGAGGGUCUUUUCAAGAGGGAGGCCCAUGGGGCCAUCCAGGUGAGGGCCUGCCUCAGCGUGGGUGGGAGUCUGACCAGGUAGGACUUGAAUGAUUCGGCUCCACCUGUUCCAGAGGUGCAGACAAGAGGUGGUGAGAGCCCCCGUCAUGCCCUCAACCUAUCCCGUUCCUUCUCCCUACAAAUAAAAAGUGCAGGCUGGAAUGAUCUCAGUCACAUUUGGAUCUUUUUAAACACUGUAUAGACGGAAGAUCCUGCAUUCCUGACUGAACCUUCAGUUGGUCUUGGUUGUCGUUUUUUCUUGCUGCUCCUCCCCCCAUCACCUGAGCUGUUUUCUGUUGGCCCCUUUUGUUUUUUGGCCUUAACGCUCCUGCUGCACAGGGUGAGGUGCCUCCUUGGCACAGACUGUGGAUGCCUCUCCCCCAGCAGAGCCACACAGCCUUCGUGACAACUGCUUUCCGUUCCCACAUUCACCUCAUCCUGCUCUUUAAAAAAGCAGUCUUUGUGCUUGUGGCUGAACGCAUCACCCUGGACUCUGCUAGUGUCUUCUGAGGACACUGAUGACACUGAUUAAUGAUACAGACCUUUGCAGGACCUGAUGAGUGACCCUUCUGGAGCUGGCCAGGUCCUCUGCAGCAGGCAAGACCAAUCAAUCACUGAACCUGCCUCAUGGCACCAGAGUGAACAGGGCAGGCAGGUAGUAGGCCCAGCUGGGGAAACGGGAGAGUUCCUGUCCCCCUCCACAUAUCCCUACAUGAAAUAUGGGAAAGUUGCUGCUAUUGAUUCAGGGUCUGUCUUGGAGGCAGAGGACCCUUGGUGGAUAGUUGGUCAGUGCCUGGAAAACCUGUCCCAGUUAUCAGGAACGCAGGCCUGGGGAGCCCCCAGUGGCAGGGACAGGGCCAGAUUUCAUGUUGACCCUGGGGAUGCUGUGAAUUUCUCCUGCAGGAGAGACAUCAUUGAAUUUUUUCAACUGUAUCAGUAGCACAGUAUUUUUGUAUGAAAAGUGGGAGACUUCUGAACAGUAAUUCAUUUAAUUGCAAAGCAUUUUGAAAUAAAAAAAUCAAACUUAAAA